GACGAACGCUGGCGGCGUGCUUAACACAUGCAAGUCGAACGGUAAGGCCCUUCGGGGUACACGAGUGGCGAACGGGUGAGUAACACGUGGGUGAUCUGCCCUGCACUUCGGGAUAAGCCUGGGAAACUGGGUCUAAUACCGGAUAGGACCACUGCCUGCCUGGGGGGUGGUGGAAAGCUUUUGCGGUGUGGGAUGGGCCCGCGGCCUAUCAGCUUGUUGGUGGGGUGAUGGCCUACCAAGGCGGCGACGGGUAGCCGGCCUGAGAGGGUGACCGGCCACACUGGGACUGAGAUACGGCCCAGACUCCUACGGGAGGCAGCAGUGGGGAAUAUUGCACAAUGGGCGCAAGCCUGAUGCAGCGACGCCGCGUGAGGGAUGACGGCCUUCGGGUCGUAAACCUCUUUCAGCACCGACGAAGCGCAAGUGACGGUAGGUGCAGAAGAAGGACCGGCCAACUACGUGCCAGCCGCCGCUGUAA
RNAcentral lists this ribosomal RNA (478 nucleotides) under uncultured bacterium. RNAcentral's name for it is "partial 16S ribosomal RNA". It matches the Rfam family "Bacterial small subunit ribosomal RNA", at positions 28 to 523 of the family's 1533-position model. The record is from RNAcentral.